This 806-nucleotide ribosomal RNA is filed under the name uncultured bacterium. RNAcentral's name for it is "bacterial SSU rRNA". It matches the Rfam family "Bacterial small subunit ribosomal RNA", at positions 8 to 796 of the family's 1533-position model. The record is from RNAcentral.
AGAGUUUGAUCCUGGCUCAGAAUCAACGCUGGCGGCGUGCCUAACACAUGCAAGUCGAACGCGGUUACCCCGCAAGGGGUAACUGAGUGGCGAACGGGUGAGUAACACGUGGGUGACCUACCUUCGAGUGGGGGAUAACGUCCCGAAAGGGACGCUAAUACCGCAUAACAUCCUGUCCUUGAACGGAUGGAGAUCAAAGCCGGGGAUCGCAAGACCUGGCGUUUGAAGAGGGGCCCGCGUCUGAUUAGCUAGUUGGUGGGGUAACGGCUCACCAAGGCGACGAUCAGUAUCCGGCCUGAGAGGGCGGACGGACACACUGGGACUGAGACACGGCCCAGACUCCUACGGGAGGCAGCAGUGGGGAAUUGUUCGCAAUGGGCGCAAGCCUGACGACGCAACGCCGCGUGGAGGAUGAAGGUCUUCGGAUUGUAAACUCCUGUUGCUCGGGACGAAAAGCUUCAACCUAAUACGUUGAAGUCUGACGGUACCGAGUGAGGAAGCCCCGGCUAACUCUGUGCCAGCAGCCGCGGUAAUACAGAGGGGGCAAGCGUUGUUCGGAAUUACUGGGCGUAAAGGGCGCGUAGGUGGCCUGUUAAGUCGAACGUGAAAUCCCUGGGCUCAACCCAGGAACUGCGUCCGAGACUGAUAGGCUCGAAUCCGGGAGAGGGAUGUGGAAUUCCAGGUGUAGCGGUGAAAUGCGUAGAUAUCUGGAGGAACACCGGUGGCGAAGGCGACAUCCUGGACCGGUAUUGACGCUGAGGCGCGAAAGCCAGGGGAGCAAACGGGAUUAGAUACCCUGGUAGUCC